RNAcentral lists this ribosomal RNA (378 nucleotides) under uncultured bacterium. Its description in RNAcentral is "bacterial SSU rRNA". It matches the Rfam family "Bacterial small subunit ribosomal RNA", at positions 521 to 896 of the family's 1533-position model. The record is from RNAcentral.
UAAUACGGAGGGUGCGAGCGUUGUUCGGAAUUAUUGGGCGUAAAGCGCACGUAGGCGGCCGAGUAAGUCUCACUGUGAAAGCCCGGGGCUCAACCCCGGGAGGCCAGGGGAUACUGCACGGCUGGAGACAAGUAGAGGCUGGUAGAAUUCCGGGUGUAGCGGUGGAAUGCGUAGAGAUCCGGAGGAAUACCUGAGGCGAAGGCGGCCAGCUGGGCUUGAUCUGACGCUGAGGUGCGAAAGCGUGGGGAGCGAACAGGAUUAGAUACCCUGGUAGUCCACGCCGUAAACGAUGGGCACUAGAUGCCGGUGGGAACGACCCCUUCGGUGUCGCAGCUAACGCAAUAAGUGCCCCGCCUGGGGAGUACGGCCGCAAGGCUG